AUGGCCUGGACUCCUCUGCUCCUCGUGCUCCUCUCUCACUGCACAGGGUCCCUCUCCCAGCAGCCUGUGCUGACUCAGCCGCCCUCCCUCUCUGCAUCUCCGGGAGCCACAGCCAGACUCACCUGCACCCUGAGCAGCGGCCUCAAUGUUGGUGGAUACAGGAUAAACUGGCACCAGCAGAAGCCUGGGAGCCCUCUCCGGUACCUCCUGAACUACCACACUGACUCAGAUAAGGGCCAAGGCUCCGGGGUCCCCAGCCGCUUCUCUGGAUCCAAAGACGCCUCGGCCAAUGCGGGGCUCCUGCUCAUCUCGGGGCUGCAGCCUGAGGACGAGGCUGACUAUUACUGUCUGAUCUGGUACAAUAAUGCUCCCACAGUGACACACACAGAUGGGGAAGUGGGACAAAAACCUUGGCCUCCACCAGAGGUGAGCGAGCUGGACGGUGGCUGGAUGCUGAGCUGCUCCAGGAAGGAUGCGGGCGCCUGGGUCUAUGGGGGAGACGCUCUCACAGCUGACGCCACUCAGGCCCAUGGGGCUCCCGUGAAUGGGGUUCCCUGA
This is a non-coding RNA of Myotis lucifugus (little brown bat), 558 nucleotides long. Lineage: Eukaryota; Metazoa; Chordata; Mammalia; Chiroptera; Vespertilionidae. The record is from the annotation of a RefSeq genome assembly.